ACCCGCUGAACUUAAGCAUAUCAAUAAGCGGAGGAAAAGAAACCAACAGGGAUUGCCCUAGUAACGGCGAGUGAAGCGGCAACAGCUCAAAUUUGAAAUCUGGCUCUUUUAGAGUCCGAGUUGUAAUUUGCAGAGGGCGCUUUGGCUUUGGCAGCGGUCCAAGUUCCUUGGAACAGGACGUCACAGAGGGUGAGAAUCCCGUACGUGGUCGCUGGCUAUUGCCGUGUAAAGCCCCUUCGACGAGUCGAGUUGUUUGGGAAUGCAGCUCUGAAUGGGAGGUACAUUUCUUCUAAAGCUAAAUAUUGGCCAGAGACCGAUAGCGCACAAGUAGAGUGAUCGAAAGAUGAAAAGCACUUUGGAAAGAGAGUCAAACAGCACGUGAAAUUGUUGAAAGGGAAGCGCUUGCAGCCAGACUUGCUUACAGUUGCUCAUCCGGGCUUUUGCCCGGUGCACUCUUCUGUAGGCAGGCCAGCAUCAGUUUGGGCGGUAGGAUAAAGGUCUCUGUCACGUACCUCUCUUCGGGGAGGCCUUAUAGGGGAGACGACAUACUACCAGCCUGGACUGAGGUCCGCGCAUCUGCUAGGAUGCUGGCGUAAUGGCUGU
This 603-nucleotide ribosomal RNA is filed under the name uncultured fungus. RNAcentral's name for it is "eukaryotic LSU rRNA". It matches the Rfam family "Eukaryotic large subunit ribosomal RNA", at positions 23 to 641 of the family's 3401-position model. The record is from RNAcentral. Lineage: Eukaryota; Fungi.